RNAcentral lists this ribosomal RNA (380 nucleotides) under uncultured bacterium. RNAcentral describes it as "bacterial SSU rRNA". It matches the Rfam family "Bacterial small subunit ribosomal RNA", at positions 30 to 412 of the family's 1533-position model. The record is from RNAcentral.
AUUGAACGCUGGCGGCAUGCUUUACACAUGCAAGUCGAACGGGCUUGGGGGCUUGCUCCCAAGUUAGUGGCGAACGGGUGAGUAAUACAUCGGAACGUACCGUGUAGUGGGGGAUAACGUAGCGAAAGUUACGCUAAUACCGCAUACAAUCUACGGAUGAAAGCAGGGGACCUUCGGGCCUUGUGCUAUACGAGCGGCCGAUGUCUGAUUAGCUAGUUGGUGAGGUAAAGGCUCACCAAGGCGACGAUCAGUAGCGGGUCUGAGAGGAUGAUCCGCCACACUGGGACUGAAACACGGUCCAUACACCUACGGGUGGCAGCAGUAGGGAAUAUUGCACAAUGGGCGAAAGCCUGAUGCAGCAACGCCGCGUGUGCGAUGAA